GCCCGGCUAACACAAUUGGUCAGUGUGUCAGACUUUUAAUCUGAAAGUUCUGGGUUCGAGUCCCAGGUCGGGCG
This 74-nucleotide transfer RNA is filed under the name Penicillium citrinum. It matches the Rfam family "tRNA". Rfam says of the family: Transfer RNA (tRNA) molecules are approximately 80 nucleotides in length. Their secondary structure includes four short double-helical elements and three loops (D, anti-codon, and T loops). RNAcentral also lists the same sequence under 1 other name. Lineage: Eukaryota; Fungi; Ascomycota; Eurotiomycetes; Eurotiales; Aspergillaceae. The record is from Rfam by way of RNAcentral.